CAACCGAAAACCUUACCUGGCCUUGCAUGUACCAAUUUACAGAGAUGCUUUAGUGCUCGAAGAGAACGGUAACACAGGUGCUGCAUGGCUGUCGUCAGCUCUGUCGGAGAUGUGGGUUAAGCCAGCACGAGCGCAACCCUUGCCAUUAAUGCCAUCAUUUAUUGGGCACUUUAAUGGACUGCGGUGACA
This 189-nucleotide ribosomal RNA is filed under the name uncultured beta proteobacterium. RNAcentral's name for it is "partial 16S ribosomal RNA". It matches the Rfam family "Bacterial small subunit ribosomal RNA", at positions 967 to 1160 of the family's 1533-position model. Lineage: Bacteria; Pseudomonadati; Pseudomonadota; Betaproteobacteria. The record is from RNAcentral.